RNAcentral lists this ribosomal RNA (714 nucleotides) under uncultured bacterium. Its description in RNAcentral is "bacterial SSU rRNA". It matches the Rfam family "Bacterial small subunit ribosomal RNA", at positions 777 to 1500 of the family's 1533-position model. The record is from RNAcentral.
AUUAGAUACCCUGGGUAGUCCACGCAGUAAACGAUGAAUACUGGGGUGUUCGGAAUGUAGAUUCUGAGUGCCGAAGCGAAAGCGUUAAGUAUUCCACCUGGGGAGUACGCCGGCAACGGUGAAACUCAAAGGAAUUGACGGGGGCCCGCACAAGCGGAGGAACAUGUGGUUUAAUUCGAUGAUACGCGAGGAACCUUACCCGGGCUCAAACGCCGCCGGACAGGAAAAGAGAUUUUCCCUCCUACGGGUCGGCGGCGAGGUGCUGCAUGGUUGUCGUCAGCUCGUGCCGUGAGGUGUCGGCUUAAGUGCCAUAACGAGCGCAACCCCUGCGGGCAGUUGCUAACGGAUAAAGCCGAGGACUCUGCCCGGACUGCCGGCGCAAGCCGCGAGGAAGGCGGGGAUGACGUCAAAUCAGCACGGCCCUUACGUCCGGGGCGACACACGUGUUACAAUGGGGCGGCACAGAGGGAAGCCAUGUGGCGACACCGAGCGGAACUCGAAAGCCUGUCUCAGUUCGGAUCGGAGUCUGCAACCCGACUCCGUGAAGCUGGAUUCGCUAGUAAUCGCGCAUCAGCCAUGGCGCGGUGAAUACGUUCCCGGGCCUUGUACACACCGCCCGUCAAGCCAUGGGAGCCGGGAGUGCCUGAAGGCCGUGACCGCAAGGAGCGGCCUAAGGUAAAACCGGUGACUGGGGCUAAGUCGUAACAAGGUAAC